UAUUUUCUUCUUCUCAGUGUAAGUGAGAUACUUGAAGCUUAUUUUCCCCCUUAGUUUACU
This 60-nucleotide transfer RNA is filed under the name Aptostichus atomarius. RNAcentral's name for it is "tRNA-Val". The record is from RNAcentral. Lineage: Eukaryota; Metazoa; Arthropoda; Arachnida; Araneae; Euctenizidae.